CCCUUAGAUGUCCUGGGCUGCACGCGCGCUACACUGAUGUGUCCAGUAAGCACCUAACCUCUUCCGAAAGGAACGGGUAACCUUUGCAAAGCACAUCGUGAUGGGGAUAGAUUAUUGCAAUUAUUAGUCUUGAACGAGGAAUUCCUAGUAAGCACAAGUCAUCAGCUUGUGUUGAUUACGUCCCUGCCCUUUGUACACACCGCCUGUCGCUCCUACCGAUUGAAUGUUCCGGUGAGCUCUUCGGACUGCGCGGUCUGCAGUUUCUGCGUUCCGUGCGGAAAGUUGCGCAAACCUUAACAUUUAGAGGAAGGAGAAGUCGUAACA
This 324-nucleotide ribosomal RNA is filed under the name uncultured eukaryote. RNAcentral's name for it is "partial 18S ribosomal RNA". It matches the Rfam family "Eukaryotic small subunit ribosomal RNA", at positions 1470 to 1796 of the family's 1831-position model. The record is from RNAcentral.